UACGAAGGGGGCUAGCGUUGCUCGGAAUCACUGGGCGUAAAGCGCACGUAGGCGGAUUGCUAAGUCAGGGGUGAAAUCCUGGAGCUCAACUCCAGAACUGCCCUUGAUACUGGCGGUCUCGAGUCCGGGAGAGGUGAGUGGAACUGCGAGUGUAGAGGUGAAAUUCGUAGAUAUUCGCAAGAACACCAGUGGCGAAGGCGGCUCACUAGCCCGGUACUGACGCUGAGGUGCGAAAGCGUGGGGAGCAAACAGG
This 253-nucleotide ribosomal RNA is filed under the name uncultured bacterium. RNAcentral describes it as "partial 16S ribosomal RNA". It matches the Rfam family "Bacterial small subunit ribosomal RNA", at positions 524 to 776 of the family's 1533-position model. The record is from RNAcentral.